Molecule: ribosomal RNA, 407 nt
Filed under: uncultured bacterium
Lineage: Bacteria
Description: bacterial SSU rRNA
Rfam family: Bacterial small subunit ribosomal RNA
Source: RNAcentral
GAUGAACGCUGGCGGCGUGCUUAACACAUGCAAGUCGAACGGAGAUAUCAUUUUCGAAGCGAUUAGUUUACUAAGAGUGGAGAUGUUGAUAUCUUAGUGGCGGACGGGUGAGUAACGCGUGGGUAACCUGCCUUACACUGGGGGAUAACACUUAGAAAUAGGUGCUAAUACCGCAUAAUGAGAGGAGACGCAUGUCUUCUGUCUGAAAACUCCGGUGGUGUAAGAUGGACCCGCGUCUGAUUAGCCAGUUGGCGGGGUAACGGCCCACCAAAGCGACGAUCAGUAGCCGGCCUGAGAGGGUGAACGGCCACAUUGGGACUGAGACACGGCCCAAACUCCUACGGGAGGCAGCAGUGGGGAAUAUUGGACAAUGGGGGGAACCCUGAUCCAGCGACGCCGCGUGAGUG